UCCACCAUGGCGCAAUUGGCUAGCGCGUCAGACUGUUAAUCUGGAGGCUCACAGUUCGACCCUGUGUGGUGGAG
Molecule: transfer RNA, 74 nt
Filed under: Pestalotiopsis fici W106-1
Lineage: Eukaryota; Fungi; Ascomycota; Sordariomycetes; Amphisphaeriales; Sporocadaceae
Description: tRNA-Asn (GTT) (tRNA-Asn-GTT-3-1)
Rfam family: tRNA
About the family: Transfer RNA (tRNA) molecules are approximately 80 nucleotides in length. Their secondary structure includes four short double-helical elements and three loops (D, anti-codon, and T loops). Further hydrogen bonds mediate the characteristic L-shaped molecular structure. tRNAs have two regions of fundamental functional importance: the anti-codon, which is responsible for specific mRNA codon recognition, and the 3' end, to which the tRNAs corresponding amino acid is attached (by aminoacyl-tRNA synthetases). tRNAs cope with the degeneracy of the genetic code in two manners: having more than one tRNA (with a specific anti-codon) for a particular amino acid; and 'wobble' base-pairing, i.e. permitting non-standard base-pairing at the 3rd anti-codon position.
Source: RNAcentral